Molecule: unclassified non-coding RNA, 237 nt
Filed under: Glomus sp.
Lineage: Eukaryota; Fungi; Glomeromycota; Glomeromycetes; Glomerales; Glomeraceae
Description: partial contains 5.8S ribosomal RNA and internal transcribed spacer 2
Rfam family: 5.8S ribosomal RNA (bases 1-65)
Source: RNAcentral
GUGAAUCAUCAAAUUUUUGAACGCAAAUUGCACUCUUCUCGGAGAGUAUGCCUGUUUGAGGGUCAGCCUAUAAAAAAUCGACAUCGUUGCUGUUUCGCGGUUACAUUCGUCGGAAAUUGGGUCAUCUUAAACCUUUGUUUUUUACGCUGCUUAAAAUUUUCUUUACGAUUCUAUUAACGUUUCUAAGAUUUACUUACACGUUUAAGGUAUCGAUUUUUAUUAGAUGUGCCCGUUGCA